AUUGAACGCUGGCGGCAGGCUUAACACAUGCAAGUCGAGCGGGGGAAGGUAGCUUGCUACCGGACCUAGCGGCGGACGGGUGAGUAAUGCUUAGGAAUCUGCCUAUUAGUGGGGGACAACAUCUCGAAAGGGAUGCUAAUACCGCAUACGUCCUAUGGGAGAAAGCAGGGGAUCUUCGGACCUUGCGCUAAUAGAUGAGCCUAAGUCGGAUUAGCUGGUUGGUGGGGUAAAGGCCUACCAAGGCGACGAUCUGUAGCGGGUCGGAGAGGAUGAUCCGCCACACUGGGACUGAGACACGGCCCAGACUCCGACGGGAGGCAGCAGUGGGGAAUAUUGGACAAUGGGGGGAACCCUGAUCCAGCCAUGCCGCGUGUGUGAAGAAGGCCUUAUGGUUGUAAAGCACUUUAAGCGAGGAGGAGGCUACUUUAGUUAAUACCUAGAGAUAGUGGACGUUACUCGCAGAAUAAGCACCGGCUAACUCUGUGCCAGCCGCCGCCGUAA
RNAcentral lists this ribosomal RNA (501 nucleotides) under uncultured bacterium. RNAcentral describes it as "partial 16S ribosomal RNA". It matches the Rfam family "Bacterial small subunit ribosomal RNA", at positions 30 to 523 of the family's 1533-position model. The record is from RNAcentral.